UACGGAGGAUCCGAGCGUUAUCCGGAUUUAUUGGGUUUAAAGGGAGCGUAGGCGGAAGCUUAAGUCAGUUGUGAAAGUUUGCGGCUCAACCGUAAAAUUGCAGUUGAUACUGGGUUUCUUGAGUGCAGUAGAGGUAGGCGGAAUUCGUGGUGUAGCGGUGAAAUGCUUAGAUAUCACGAAGAACUCCGAUUGCGAAGGCAGCUCACUGGACUGCAACUGACACUGAGGCGCGAAAGCGUGGGGAGCAAACAGG
RNAcentral lists this ribosomal RNA (253 nucleotides) under uncultured Bacteroides sp. Its description in RNAcentral is "partial 16S ribosomal RNA". It matches the Rfam family "Bacterial small subunit ribosomal RNA", at positions 524 to 776 of the family's 1533-position model. The record is from RNAcentral. Lineage: Bacteria; Pseudomonadati; Bacteroidota; Bacteroidia; Bacteroidales; Bacteroidaceae.